This is a long non-coding RNA of Numida meleagris (helmeted guineafowl), 3407 nucleotides long. RefSeq lists it as uncharacterized. The transcript has 5 exons. The record is from RefSeq and is a predicted model, not a curated record. Lineage: Eukaryota; Metazoa; Chordata; Aves; Galliformes; Numididae.
GGGAAUUCUCUGAGUUACUUGAAACAUGAGCAACAAACAUCUUAGCAAAGCACAACCUAUGCUUGUUAAUGAAAUGUGCUUGUACAAUGCAAAAGAUGUAUUGCACUGAGCCAUGAUGUGUUGUAUACUGCAAUCAUUGCAUUAGUCAUUUUGUUCCGCAUUUGUCAGACACAAUAUUCAGAAAUGGGCAACUGCAUUUCAACCUGAAAUUGCUCCUUAGAUAUCUCCAGAAAGAUGACUUGAUUUUUUCAGUUACUAAUAACUCUCAGCCUAGGCUUACUUCUGUUGCUAGUUCAAGCUCAGGCCAUUUCUAUGAAGUGUUUGAUCAGAGUGCACAUUUAAAACCAUAUACUGAAACAGGAAAUAGAUGCUUUGCUGAGCAGAUGUUUUGUUCAAGCUUGCCCUGCUCACCUCAACUGCUCAUGGAGAUCUUCAUUCAAGACAAAAUCAGGCAAAUUGGCAAAGUGUUGAAAUUUGAUUCAUUAGCUGUUAUUACCCUAGCUGCAUGCAGAACUGACCUGAGCAAAAUUUUCUGUGGCAGUUAUUACACACUGUGAUUUUAAGAAAAUUGGCAUCAAAUUCUUGCAAGUCCUUGUUUAGAACCAAAAGAAAACUUAAAAAGCUUUGUUGGGUUUUCAAGUGAAUUUCUUCUUUCAGUGCUAGUUUGGAGUCACAUUGCAGGAUACUUCAAUUUGAUCCUCAGUGUAACAUGCAACAGUAGAAAAUGGUUAUCAGCUGGAUUGUACAGUGAGGAUGGUUCAGGAAAGGUGGUUAGACAAGGUCCCUUUAAACUAAAAAUAAGCUUUUAAACUCCGUGCAUGUGGCGCUAAAGUGCACUAUAUGAGAUGACUAUGGGCUCAGCUAAGGUUUAAAUGUACUGGCUAAAGGAAAUUAAAACUACCACCCACGUGUGUCUCUAACACAUAAUUCUUUCACUGAGAAUGUUUCAGCCUUAAAGUAGAUCUUACAUGCCAUUUAUCAUCCUUUUGAUAUACAUCAGGCUCAGAGUGUUAUCAAUGAAACAUGCAACAUAGAUAAUUUCCAUUGCGCCAGUAAAGAAAGAGAAGUUUUUUGUGACUAAGUGCUAAUAAAUGGCCUUGCAAGAGAAAUGACCUCCUAUUUAGUCAUCUGGCCUUGGAAAACAUGUGUCUGAAAGCAGAUGUAUCACCAGCUUUUACUUCAGAGGGAGAAGUUCUUUAUUCAGGAAAAUGGGAAACUUGCAUUUCAGUCACAUUGAAGUCAGCAAACUGCAUUUGCAACUUUCUCCUCAGAAGUAAAACCAUCUACUUUCCAUAAUAAGAGUAGUAAAGGAAAACAAAAAGAAUUCCGAAUGGGCACAGUGGAAACUGUUUAAUUCCCCAUGAAAGACACCUCCUGCAGCACACAGCUGGGUCAGAAAAGCUCAUCAUCCAAGGGAGGUGUUUGAAAGGUGCCAGCUGGGAUGGGAAGCAACCAUAGCCACCAGGGGAUACAGGUGGAGAUAUCUACAGGUUCUUCAGAACAAAGGGGUGUCUACAAAGCUCUUUUAAUAUCAAGUCUAGUGCUGUGGACUACCUCCCACCUGUAGCCUGAGUGUCUUGGCUGCCCUGAGCCUUCAUUAGCAGAAAGUUACCAGCAGUUGGGAGGCACUGAAAAGAACAAGGGUAGAAGGCUUAACGUAUGGUCCUGUACGCAGACCGGGCUAUGGAUAAGUGAAGCAGAAUACUUUUUGUGUAUGCUGUGGCAAGAGCUGAUGGAAUGUAAUGAGGAGGUGAUGUGUUCUGGAGAUCUCACACAUUGGCACUUUAUUGCAUGGUUGCCUCCAGUUGGAUCAGCACCUUCAGAAGAAAAUUUUCCAGGAAAAAAGCUUUUCCUGUGGCAGAACUGCACCAUAAGAUGUAUGAAGGUUGCUUCCCAGAAGCUCUCAUUGCACAGAUUAAGCUCUCCAGUUAUGCUGCCCUUACAGCCUGCAACAGCUGUUGGCAGUAUGAAAAAAUUGUCAGCCAGCCAGCUGCAUGCAGUUCGCCUGGGACUGUACAUUGCAACUUGUUGUGAUGAGAGAUGUUGCUUUUCAUCCCAAUGAUCUUUUGCUUCUUUCCAUCUUUUGGAAGCUUUAGAACUGAAAAUAAACUAGUUGGAAUUUUUCUCUAUUGAAGGAAACAUCUCUCUACCCAGAUGAGAUACACAUCCAUUCGGAUCAGACAUCUUCUCACUGGUGUGUGUGGCAGAGGUGGUCUCCUAGGAGAAUCUGCUGCCCCACCACACAGAAGUUUAUGUUUCAGCCAUUUGCCCGUUGGUGACAGAACAAACUAUCUAGCUUUCUUGUGGUCAGCCACAGCCAAUGCUGGUGAGCCCUACGGAAGGCUUUGUGGGCGUAUGUUUAUGUAUUCUAUGGAGUCACCAAGUCAGUUUUCUGUGAAUGUUAUACAGGGACAUGGAGACAUUAACUAAGUGACCUGUAUUCUUCCUUGGUCACACUGAGGCCCUCCACACUGUCUGAAAGCCCCAGAUAAAUGCAGAGGAAGCCACAUGGAUUAAAACUAAAUCCAAGAUUUAGCUCAGCAGAUGUCUCUUUCAGAGUAUUCACUGGCUGUUAUUGGAUAAGUACACUACAGCCCACGUCUUUCACCAUCAUCCCAAGUGGUGUAAUUCCCCUGGCUUCUGAAUCAGUGCAGCCCUUCCCCACCUCUCCUUUGCCAGUCACCACGUUGCAUUGCAUCCCAGUGCACGUAGUUAGGCAAAAAGUUUGAAAUCAAACACUAUGUUACUUCAUGCUAGUGAGUCUCCUUGCAUGCUAUGUGUGUCAGGAGAACUGUCUGCAGAAGUGUCCUUGAGUGCUCAGGGCAGAGGUUUCAGUGUAACUCUAUAAGUAGUGGUUGUCUUCACUUCCUUGAAAAUUUCCUCAUCUGAUCUUGUCUUUUUAUUUUAUGAAGUAGAGCAUUUUUCUUCUAGUACUAAACAUUCGUUCGUUCAAGUCAGUCAGUAUAAGAUAUUAGAGAUUAAUAAAACCAUCAUAAUUUUUAAUGAGGGCAAUUAUUCAGAAACCUGUAAAUACAGCGACGCUUGGCUUUUUAUGUUUAUACAUAGUGGAACUCAGAAAUUUUUCUUCUCGUAGCAAAUGAUAUAUUCAUUCGAAGAAAUAAAGCUUCAGACUGACCUAAUAUUUAGUAAAUGCAACCUAAAUUGAAAAUUAGUUUUGCUCAAAGAACCGUGUGUCAUGGCAGAAUCGAAAAUAAUCACCUAUUUCAUUAUGGAAUAUUGCCACAUUCAUUGUGAAUUACCAUUUUUGUUGCUCUUCUUUAAUUUGAAACAUAGUAAAAUGCUAAAGGUGAGCAUUCUUUAAACCCAUCAUUUACGUGAAUAUGUCUAUUUUUACAUUUGUAGCUUGUUUUGUCCAUGCAUAUACAUUGCUUUGAUUAUUAUAUUAU